RNAcentral lists this ribosomal RNA (406 nucleotides) under uncultured Tepidanaerobacter sp. RNAcentral's name for it is "bacterial SSU rRNA". It matches the Rfam family "Bacterial small subunit ribosomal RNA", at positions 355 to 778 of the family's 1533-position model. Lineage: Bacteria; Bacillati; Bacillota; Clostridia; Thermosediminibacterales; Tepidanaerobacteraceae. The record is from RNAcentral.
UGGGGAAUUUUGCGCAAUGGGGGAAACCCUGACGCAGCGACGCCGCGUGAGCGAUGAAGGCCUUCGGGUCGUAAAGCUCAGUCAUUGGGGAUGAAAAGGACAGUACCCAAAGAGGAAGCCCCGGCUAACUACGUGCCAGCAGCCGCGGUAAUACGUAGGGGGCGAGCGUUGUCCGGAAUUACUGGGUGUAAAGGGCGUGUAGGCGGGGAUGCAAGUUACCGGUAAAAACCCGUGGCUCAACCACGGGCUUGCCGAUAAAACUGCAUCUCUUGAGUGUAGGAGAGGGAAGUGGAAUUCCCGGAGUAGCGGUGAAAUGCGUAGAUACCGGGAGGAACACCAGUGGCGAAGGCGGCUUCCUGGCCUAUCACUGACGCUGAGGCGCGAAAGCUAGGGGAGCGAACGGGAU